Molecule: long non-coding RNA, 465 nt
Organism: Cebus imitator (Panamanian white-faced capuchin)
Lineage: Eukaryota; Metazoa; Chordata; Mammalia; Primates; Cebidae
Exons: 3
Source: RefSeq, a predicted model, not a curated record
AGGAGCCUGGUUGUAGGUGAUGGGAUCUUGAGGAUGGAUUUCCCCCUUGCUGUUCUCAUGAUAAUGAAAGCGUUCUCAGGAAAUCUAACGGUUUAAAAGUGUGUGGCACUUCCCUUUUGCUCACUCUCUCUUCCUCCUGCUCUACCAUGUGAAGAUUGUGCCUGCUUCUCUUUCAUCUUCUGCCAUGACGCAUGAACUCCUCUGGAGAAAGCAAGUUCUCAUUCGUGUCGUUAUCUAUCUUCCAUUGGUUACAAGAUAAUGAGAAUCGAAAAUCAUAAUCUAAUUUCUCAUAGUAUAGAACACAACCUUGAAUAAAAUAGACAUCCAUUAUUUGGAAGUGCAUUGCCAUGAGGUACUGAGCCAAGCCCAUGUACCUUAUUUGCACAGGCUUCUCUCAAAGUUCAGGAAGAAGCCAGGUGCGGUGGCUCACGCCUGUAAUCCCUGAACUAUGGGAGGCCGAGUCGG